AGCCUACCUUUAUUUUAUUU
This 20-nucleotide microRNA is filed under the name Nematostella vectensis (starlet sea anemone). RNAcentral's name for it is "nve-miR-2039-5p". The record is from miRBase by way of RNAcentral. Lineage: Eukaryota; Metazoa; Cnidaria; Anthozoa; Actiniaria; Edwardsiidae.